Molecule: ribosomal RNA, 441 nt
Filed under: Babesia capreoli
Lineage: Eukaryota; Apicomplexa; Aconoidasida; Piroplasmida; Babesiidae
Description: SSU rRNA
Rfam family: Eukaryotic small subunit ribosomal RNA
Source: RNAcentral
UAGGAGGGCAAGUCUGGUGCCAGCAGCCGCGGUAAUUCCAGCUCCAAUAGCGUAUAUUAAACUUGUUGCAGUUAAAAAGCUCGUAGUUGAAUUUUUGCGUGGUGUUAAUAUUGACUGAUGUCGAGAUUGCACUUCGCUUUUGGGAUUUUUCCCUUUUUACUUUGAGAAAAUUAGAGUGUUUCAAGCAGACUUUUGUCUUGAAUACUUCAGCAUGGAAUAAUAGAGUAGGACUUUGGUUCUAUUUUGUUGGUUUGUGAACCUUAGUAAUGGUUAAUAGGAACGGUUGGGGGCAUUCGUAUUUAACUGUCAGAGGUGAAAUUCUUAGAUUUGUUAAAGACGAACUACUGCGAAAGCAUUUGCCAAGGACGUUUUCAUUAAUCAAGAACGAAAGUUAGGGGAUCGAAGACGAUCAGAUACCGUCGUAGUCCUAACAUAAACUAA